Molecule: ribosomal RNA, 253 nt
Filed under: uncultured bacterium
Lineage: Bacteria
Description: partial 16S ribosomal RNA
Rfam family: Bacterial small subunit ribosomal RNA
Source: RNAcentral
UACGGAGGGGGCUAGCGUUGCUCGGAAUUACUGGGCGUAAAGGGCGCGUAGGCGGCCUCGUAAGUCAGGCGUGAAAGCCCCGGGCUCAACCCGGGAAAUGCGUUUGGGACUGCGGGGCUUGAGGUCGGGAGAGGGCAGUGGAAUUCCCAGUGUAGAGGUGAAAUUCGUAGAUAUUGGGAAGAACACCAGUGGCGAAGGCGGCUGCCUGGACCGAUUCUGACGCUAAGGCGCGAAAGCGUGGGGAGCAAACAGG